RNAcentral lists this transfer RNA (82 nucleotides) under Cordylochernes scorpioides. Its description in RNAcentral is "tRNA-Thr". Lineage: Eukaryota; Metazoa; Arthropoda; Arachnida; Pseudoscorpiones; Chernetidae. The record is from RNAcentral.
UGUCCAGGGAUGGGAAUCGAACCCACAAUGUUCCGCUUACCGGGCAGAUGCCAUGUCCACUAGGCUUUAAAUAGUGUGUGAC